GCCAACCUUGAAAUACCACCCUUAUCAAUGUGUAUGUCUAACUGCGUUCCGUUAUCCGUAAUCGGGACAGUGUAUGGUGGGUAGUUUGACUGGGGCGGUCGCCUCCGAAAGAGUAACGGAGGCGCGCGAUGGUAGGCUCAGAGCGGUCGGAAAUCGCUUGUUGAGUGCAAUGGCAUAAGCCUGCCUGACUGCGAGACAGACAAGUCGAGCAGAGACGAAAGUCGGUCAUAGUGAUCCGGUGGUUCCGAGUGGAAGGGCCAUCGCUCAACGGAU
This is a ribosomal RNA of 273 nucleotides. It matches the Rfam family "Bacterial large subunit ribosomal RNA", at positions 2185 to 2457 of the family's 2925-position model.